UACGUAGGGGGCAAGCGUUAUCCGGAUUUACUGGGUGUAAAGGGAGCGUAGACGGUGAUGCAAGUCAGAAGUGAAAGCCCGGGGCUCAACCCCGGCCUGCCGUCGGAACUGGGUGCCUUGAGUGGGCGAGAAGUAUGCGGAAUGCGUGGUGUAGCGGUGAAAUGCAUAGAUAUCACGCAGAACCCCGAUUGCGAAGGCAGCAUACCGGCGCCCUACUGACGCUGAGGCACGAAAGUGCGGGUAUCGAACAGG
Molecule: ribosomal RNA, 252 nt
Filed under: uncultured Bacteroidales bacterium
Lineage: Bacteria; Pseudomonadati; Bacteroidota; Bacteroidia; Bacteroidales
Description: partial 16S ribosomal RNA
Rfam family: Bacterial small subunit ribosomal RNA
Source: RNAcentral